GACGAACGCUGGCGGCGUGCCUAAUACAUGCAAGUCGAACGCAUUUUCUUUCACCGUAGCUUGCUACACCGACAGAAAAUGAGUGGCGAACGGGUGAGUAACACGUGGGUAACCUGCCCAUCAGCGGGGGAUAACACUUGGAAACAGGUGCUAAUACCGCAUAAUUCCAUUUACCGCAUGGUAAAUGGAUGAAAGGCGCUUUUGCGUCACUGAUGGAUGGACCCGCGGUGCAUUAGCUAGUUGGUGGGGUAACGGCCUACCAAGGCUGCGAUGCAUAGCCGACCUGAGAGGGUGAUCGGCCACACUGGGACUGAGACACGGCCCAGACUCCUACGGGAGGCAGCAGUAGGGAAUCUUCGGCAAUGGACGCAAGUCUGACCGAGCAACGCCGCGUGAGUGAAGAAGGUUUUCGGAUCGUAAAACUCUGUUGUUAGAGAAGAACGAGGAUGAGAGUGGAAAGUUCAUCCCUUGACGGUAUCUAACCAGAAAGCCACGGCUAACUACGUG
This 507-nucleotide ribosomal RNA is filed under the name uncultured bacterium. Its description in RNAcentral is "partial 16S ribosomal RNA". It matches the Rfam family "Bacterial small subunit ribosomal RNA", at positions 28 to 507 of the family's 1533-position model. The record is from RNAcentral.